RNAcentral lists this ribosomal RNA (740 nucleotides) under uncultured bacterium. Its description in RNAcentral is "bacterial SSU rRNA". It matches the Rfam family "Bacterial small subunit ribosomal RNA", at positions 64 to 814 of the family's 1533-position model. The record is from RNAcentral.
GAGGGGGCAGCAAUGUCACCGUCGUACGGGUGCGUAACGCGUAUGCAACCUACCUUUAACUGGGGGAUAGCCCGGGGAAACCCGGAUUAAUACCGCAUGACACAUUUGGGCCACCUGGUUUGAUUUGUUAAAGAUUUAUUGGUUAAAGAUGGGCAUGCGUUCGAUUAGCUAGUUGGCAGGGUAACGGCCUACCAAGGCAACGAUCGAUAGGGGAGCUGAGAGGUUGAUCCCCCACACGGGCACUGAGAUACGGGCCCGACUCCUACGGGAGGCAGCAGUAGGGAAUAUUGGGCAAUGGAUGCAAGUCUGACCCAGCCAUGCCGCGUGCCGGAUGAAGGCCCUCAGGGUUGUAAACGGCUUUUAUUCGGGAAGAAGGGCAGGGAUGCGUCCUUGUGUGACGGUACCGAAUGAAUAAGCACCGGCUAACUCUGUGCCAGCAGCCGCGGUAAUACGGAGGGUGCGAGCGUUGUCCGGAUUUAUUGGGUUUAAAGGGUGCGUAGGUGGCUUUAUAAGUCAGUGGUGAAAUACAGCCGCUUAACGGUUGAGGUGCCAUUGAUACUGUGGAGCUUGAAACAAGUGGAGGCUGCCGGAAUGGAUGGUGUAGCGGUGAAAUGCAUAGAUAUCAUCCAGAACACCGAUUGCGAAGGCAGGUGGCUACGUUUGAUUUGACACUGAGGCACGAAAGCAUGGGGAGCAAACAGGAUUAGAUACCCUGGUAGUCCAUGCCGUAAACGAUGAGG